CCGAUCGCCCCUCGCCCUCCCCUGGCCCCAGCGCCGACACGGCCUCACACUCACCUCCCCCGGGCGGCAGCGGGACGCUCCGCGCCCCUUCCCCGUGCUCCUUUCCCCCUCCUCCUCCGCUCCCGGCGCGCAGCUCCAGCUCCGGUCCCGCAGCCGGGAGGUGCCGCCCGGCGGUCCCGGCUCUCCGCGGGUUGCGCGGGGAGGAGGAGGGCAGCGGGGAGCUCCUCGCUUCUCCCGGGAUGCGCCGCCUCGGGCUGCCUCCUCCUCCCCCUCCUCUUUUCACGGCCUCCCCACUGUCCGGAGGUGCCGCCCGGCCGUCCCGUUCGCCGUCCCCCGCCCCUCUCCCCGCACAGGCCCCGCCGGCGGCCGGCAGUACCCGGGGGCGGCGGGAUAUUCCGGCCCGGCCUCCUCUCCUCUUCUCUCCCCGGGGCCUGCUGCACGAUCUCCGCGGGGAGACGAGGCCCUGCCCGGCCUGAGCAGCCCCGGGAAGGUCACCGGCAGCGUGCAGCCGGGAGAGGAGCGGCUCCCCCCGGCCCCGCUCCUAAAGCCGCCGGCCCAGCCUCAGCCUCAGCGGCCGCUGGGUGCCGCGCUCCGCCCGGGCUCGCUCCGUGCCGCUGCCCGGUGCCGCCUCCAGCUCGGAGUGCCAGGCUGCCCCCUUCCCUUUCUUCCUUCCUUCCUUCCUUCCUUCCUUGCCUCCCGCCCCUUCCCCGCUGCCAGACUUCCCCCGCCCGGUGCCAGGCUGCCCCCUGCGGGUCUCGCCGCCCACCGCCGGCAGUACUCCAGUGCCGGCAGAGGGGUCCUCGCCGCAGCCACCGCUCUGCCCCGGGCUCAGCGGCAGCUGCAGUGACUGUGUGUCUGUGUCAUGUCUGUGCAUGGGCGGGAGGAGGCGCGGCGCCGAGGCGGAGCCAGCCCAUUGACACACCGCCCAGCGACAGGCAACGAGCGCCCAACCAGCGGCAACCGCGCACCGACCGCCUUCACCGAGCGGCGCCCCCGGUCCGCUGUACCUGGACCGGGCCGGGCCGGGCCGGGCCGGGCCGGGCCGGAGCGGGAGGGGCAGAGAGGGGAGAGCCGGCCCCGCACGGGGCUGCACCUCAGCGUACACUCUACCAAAAUACUGUGAACUCAGGAGCAGAUUAUUCAUGGGAAAAUAGCGUUUGCCAGACUCAAUUAAGACUUUGGUCCAUCAACUGCAGUGCUCUGCCACCAGCUGUGCCCACUGCCCGAUGCUUCAGUCAGGAGUGGUAUCAGAUGAACUGCAGUAAAUCAUGAAGUUGAAUGUAACAUAUACAGGUUUGCAACUGCUUUGGUGGCAGUCGUGAUGAAAGAAUUGCUGGGGAUGUAUGGAGGAGGACCCAAGACUGUCUGUAUGCUUUCAUUAUUAAGAAAGCCACGUUGUCUACUGCCUACCACUGGAAAUUUGAGUGGAUUCAUAUGUUUUUAGUUUCAUGCCGUGUCCUAAAGAUUUGUGAAUUUCUUGCUGGAUCAAUAGGUAAAGGCAUAAGAGUGCACAUAUUCAGACAGGUUAUAGCACUUUCACAGUAGCAAAGCAUCACUGAGUACAGUAGGACUAAGUCUGUUCGUAAGACCUUGAAAAUUUACAAAUUAGCUGAGUGUCAGUGAGAACAAAAUUAUUUCCAGUAUAACCAUUUGA
Molecule: long non-coding RNA, 1654 nt
Organism: Coturnix japonica (Japanese quail)
Lineage: Eukaryota; Metazoa; Chordata; Aves; Galliformes; Phasianidae
Source: Ensembl